Molecule: ribosomal RNA, 502 nt
Filed under: uncultured bacterium
Lineage: Bacteria
Description: partial 16S ribosomal RNA
Rfam family: Bacterial small subunit ribosomal RNA
Source: RNAcentral
AUUGAGCGCUGGCGGCAGGCUUAACACAUGCAAGUCGAGCGGGGUGAUGGUGCUUGCACUAUCACUUAGCGGCGGACGGGUGAGUAAUGCUUAGGAAUCUGCCUAUUAGUGGGGGACAACAUCUCGAAAGGGAUGCUAAUACCGCAUACGUCCUACGGGAGAAAGCAGGGGAUCUUUAUGACCUUGCGCUAAUAGAUGAGCCUAAGUCGGAUUAGCUAGUUGGUGGGGUAAAGGCCUACCAAGGCGACGAUCUGUAGCGGGUCUGAGAGGAUGAUCCGCCACACUGGGACUGAGACACGGCCCAGACUCCUACGGGAGGCAGCAGUGGGGAAUAUUGGACAAUGGGGGGAACCCUGAUCUAGCCAUGCCGCGUGUGUGAAGAAGGCCUUAUGGUUGUAAAGCACUUUAAGCGAGGAGGAGGCUCUUUUGGUUAAUACCCAGAAUGAGUGGACGUUACUCGCAGAAUAAGCACCGGCUAACUCUGUGCCAGCCGCCGCGGUAA